GUAAAUUCAUGAUGAGGUGACUUCAAAGAAGAGUGGCUUACUUGUAUUAUAGCCACUAGCUAUAAUUAAAGGUCCAUUUUUGAGAAGUAUGUCCAGAGCUUGGAAAGUAAGACACAUCAAAAUAAUUUUAAGGUGGAGAAAAAGUAUUACGAAUUGAAUUACAAGCACGUUCAUAAUGAAAAAAAUAAGGGUAUUUCUGUUUAAUGUCUUUAUAAUAAUGUACAUUUAUGGAACCGAAGUCCACAAUUCUGAAAAUUUUUCUUUCCAAAAAUUUCUUCUUCAAUUUAAGCAUGAAAAUAAAUGGUUUAGAAUGUUGGGAGGAUGCAAAGAUGGAAAAGAACUUCACCAAAUCAAGUAAUGACAAAAGUUAAGUGCAGAACGAAUCAAUUCAGCUUUGAAACAGAGGAGGUAGGAAGGAAAAGAGAGAGAUGAUAUUGUAACGCAACAGAGACUGAAAGAGAAAGAAGGAUAGAUAACCUGUUGCCA
RNAcentral lists this unclassified non-coding RNA (486 nucleotides) under Hevea brasiliensis (rubber tree). Lineage: Eukaryota; Viridiplantae; Streptophyta; Magnoliopsida; Malpighiales; Euphorbiaceae. The record is from RNAcentral.